AAGGGUAUAGCUCAGUGAUAGAGUGUGUGCUUAGCAUGCCCAAGGUCCUGGGUUUAAUUCCCAGUACCUCCA
Molecule: transfer RNA, 72 nt
Filed under: Camelus dromedarius (Arabian camel)
Lineage: Eukaryota; Metazoa; Chordata; Mammalia; Artiodactyla; Camelidae
Also listed under: 1 other name
Rfam family: tRNA
About the family: Transfer RNA (tRNA) molecules are approximately 80 nucleotides in length. Their secondary structure includes four short double-helical elements and three loops (D, anti-codon, and T loops). Further hydrogen bonds mediate the characteristic L-shaped molecular structure. tRNAs have two regions of fundamental functional importance: the anti-codon, which is responsible for specific mRNA codon recognition, and the 3' end, to which the tRNAs corresponding amino acid is attached (by aminoacyl-tRNA synthetases). tRNAs cope with the degeneracy of the genetic code in two manners: having more than one tRNA (with a specific anti-codon) for a particular amino acid; and 'wobble' base-pairing, i.e. permitting non-standard base-pairing at the 3rd anti-codon position.
Source: Rfam by way of RNAcentral